RNAcentral lists this ribosomal RNA (464 nucleotides) under uncultured bacterium. RNAcentral describes it as "partial 16S ribosomal RNA". It matches the Rfam family "Bacterial small subunit ribosomal RNA", at positions 339 to 795 of the family's 1533-position model. The record is from RNAcentral.
CUACGGGACGCUGCAGUGGGGAAUAUUGGACAAUGGGGGCAACCCUGAUUCAGCGAUGCCGCGUGGGUGAAGAAGGCCUUCGGGUUGUAAAGCCCUUUAGGUCGGGAAGAAGGAUGUUGGGUUAAUACCCUGACAUUUUGACGGUACCGACAGAAUAAGCACCGGCAAACUCUGUGCCAGCAGCCGCGGUAAUACAGAGGGUGCGAGCGUUAAUCGGAUUAACUGGGCGUAAAGGGCGCGUAGGCGGUUAUAUGUGUGGGAUGUGAAAGCCCCGGGCUUAACCUGGGAAGUGCAUACUAAACUAUAUAACUGGAGUAUAUGAGAGGGUGGCGGAAUUUCCGGUGUAGCGGUGAAAUGCGUAGAGAUCGGAAGGAACGUCAAUGGCGAAGGCAGCCACCUGGCAUAAUACUGACGCUGAGGCGCGAAAGCGUGGGGAGCAAACAGGAUUAGAUACCCUGGUAGUC